ACGAGUGGCGGACGGGUGAGUAACACGUAGGUAACCUGCCCAGAAGCGGGGGACAACAUUUGGAAACAGAUGCUAAUACCGCAUAACAGCGUUGUUCGCAUGAACAACGCUUAAAAGAUGGCUUCUCGCUAUCACUUCUGGAUGGACCUGCGGUGCAUUAGCUUGUUGGUGGGGUAACGGCCUACCAAGGCGAUGAUGCAUAGCCGAGUUGAGAGACUGAUCGGCCACAAUGGGACUGAGACACGGCCCAUACUCCUACGGGAGGCAGCAGUAGGGAAUCUUCCACAAUGGGCGCAAGCCUGAUGGAGCAACACCGCGUGAGUGAAGAAGGGUUUCGGCUCGUAAAGCUCUGUUGUUAAAGAAGAACACGUAUGAGAGUAACUGUUCAUACGUUGACGGUAUUUAACCAGAAAGUCACGGCUAACUACGUGCCAGCAGCCGCGGUAAUACGUAGGUGGCAAGCGUUAUCCGGAUUUAUUGGGCGUAAAGAGAGUGCAGGCGGUUUUCUAAGUCUGAUGUGAAAGCCUUCGGCUUAACCGGAGAAGUGCAUCGGAAACUGGAUAACUUGAGUGCAGAAGAGGGUAGUGGAACUCCAUGUGUAGCGGUGGAAUGCGUAGAUAUAUGGAAGAACACCAGUGGCGAAGGCGGCUACCUGGUCUGCAACUGACGCUGAGACUCGAAAGCAUGGGUAGCGAACAGGAUUAGAUACCCUGGUAGUCCAUGCCGUAAACGAUGAGUGCUAGGUGUUGGAGGGUUUCCGCCCUUCAGUGCCGGAGCUAACGCAUUAAGCACUCCGCCUGGGGAGUACGACCGCAAGGUUGAAACUCAAAGGAAUUGACGGGGGCCCGCACAAGCGGUGGAGCAUGUGGUUUAAUUCGAAGCUACGCGAAGAACCUUACCAGGUCUUGACAUCUUGCGCCAACCCUAGAGAUAGGGCGUUUCCUUCGGGAACGCAAUGACAGGUGGUGCAUGGUCGUCGUCAGCUCGUGUCGUGAGAUGUUGGGUUAAGUCCCGCAACGAGCGCAACCCUUGUUACUAGUUGCCAGCAUUAAGUUGGGCACUCUAGUGAGACUGCCGGUGACAAACCGGAGGAAGGUGGGGACGACGUCAGAUCAUCAUGCCCCUUAUGACCUGGGCUACACACGUGCUACAAUGGACGGUACAACGAGUCGCGAACUCGCGAGGGCAAGCAAAUCUCUUAAAACCGUUCUCAGUUCGGACUGCAGGCUGCAACUCGCCUGCACGAAGUCGGAAUCGCUAGUAAUCGCGGAUCAGCAUGCCGCGGUGAAUACGUUCCCGGGCCUUGUACACACCGCCCGUCACACCAUGAGAGUUUGUAACACCCAAAGUCGGUGGGGUAACCUUUUAGGAGCCAGCCGCCUAAGGUGGGAC
Molecule: ribosomal RNA, 1392 nt
Filed under: Limosilactobacillus fermentum
Lineage: Bacteria; Bacillati; Bacillota; Bacilli; Lactobacillales; Lactobacillaceae
Description: Lactobacillus fermentum 16S ribosomal RNA
Rfam family: Bacterial small subunit ribosomal RNA
Source: RNAcentral